CCCUUAGAUGUCCGGGGCCGCACGCGCGCUACACUGAAGGAAUCAGCGUGGCUUUCUCCCUGACCCGAAAGGGUUGGGAAACCCGUUGAAUCUCCUUCGUGAUAGGGAUUGGGGCUUGAAAUUGUUCCCCAUGAACGAGGAAUUCCCAGUAAGCGCGAGUCAUAAGCUCGCGUUGAUUACGUCCCUGCCCUUUGUACACACCGCCCGUCGCUACUACCGAUUGAACGGUUUAGUGAGGGCCUCGGAUUGGUCUCGGCCCGCUCUUUACCGGGCGGCGCCGUUGGUCGAGAAGACGCUCGAACUUGAUCGUUUAGGGGAAGUAAAAGUCGUAACA
Molecule: ribosomal RNA, 334 nt
Filed under: uncultured eukaryote
Lineage: Eukaryota
Description: partial 18S ribosomal RNA
Rfam family: Eukaryotic small subunit ribosomal RNA
Source: RNAcentral